This 306-nucleotide ribosomal RNA is filed under the name Entoloma trachyosporum. RNAcentral describes it as "eukaryotic LSU rRNA". It matches the Rfam family "Eukaryotic large subunit ribosomal RNA", at positions 1 to 299 of the family's 3401-position model. The record is from RNAcentral. Lineage: Eukaryota; Fungi; Basidiomycota; Agaricomycetes; Agaricales; Entolomataceae.
UUGACCUCAAAUCAGGUAGGACUACCCGCUGAACUUAAGCAUAUCAAUAAGCGGAGGAAAAGAAACUAACAAGGAUUCCCCUAGUAACUGCGAGUGAAGCGGGAAAAGCUCAAAUUUAAAAUCUGGUAGUCUUUGGCUGCCCGAGUUGUAAUCUAGAGAAGUGUUAUCCGCGUUGGACCGUGUACAAGUCUCCUGGAAUGGAGCGUCAUAGAGGGUGAGAAUCCCGUCUUUGACACGGACUACCAGGGCUUUGUGAUGCGCUCUCAAAGAGUCGAGUUGUUUGGGAAUGCAGCUCUAAAUGGGUGG